RNAcentral lists this small nuclear RNA (107 nucleotides) under Procavia capensis (Cape rock hyrax). The record is from RNAcentral. Lineage: Eukaryota; Metazoa; Chordata; Mammalia; Hyracoidea; Procaviidae.
AUGUUCAUUUUGGCAGCACCUACAUUAAAAUAGGAACAAUACAGAGAAGAUUAACAUGGCCUCUGUACAACCAAGACGUGAAAAUUCGAGAUGUGUUGCAUAUUUUU